UACACAUGCAAGUCGAACGAUGAAGCCGGGGCUUUUUGUUUUGGUGGAUUAGUGGCGAACGGGUGAGUAAUACGUGAGUAACCUGCCCUUGUCUUUGGGAUAAGCCUGGGAAACUGGGUCUAAUACCGGAUAUUCUGCUUUUGCCGCAUGGUGGGGGUUGGAAAGAUUUUUUGGAUGGGGAUGGGCUCACGGCCUAUCAGCUUGUUGGUGGGGUGAUGGCCUACCAAGGCGUCGACGGGUAGCCGGCCUGAGAGGGUGACCGGCCACAUUGGGACUGAGAUACGGCCCAGACUCCUACGGGAGGCAGCAGUGGGGAAUAUUGCACAAUGGACGCAAGUCUGAUGCAGCGACGCCGCGUGGGGGAUGAAGGCUUUCGGGUUGUAAACUCCUUUCAGUACAGAAGAAGCAUUUUUGUGACGGUAUGUGCAGAAGAAGCGCCGGCUAACUACGUGCCAGCAGCCGCGGUAAUACGUAGGGCGCGAGCGUUGUCCGGAAUUAUUGGGCGUAAAGAGCUCGUAGGCGGUUUGUUGCGCCUGCUGUGAAAGACCGGGGCUUAACUUCGGGGUUGCAGUGGGUACGGGCAGACUAGAGUGUGGUAGGGGUAAUUGGAAUUCCUGGUGUAGCGGUGGAAUGCGCAGAUAUCAGGAGGAACACCGAUGGCGAAGGCAGGUUACUGGGCCAUUACUGACGCUGAGGAGCGAAAGCGUGGGUAGCGAACAGGAUUAGAUACCCUGGUAGUCCACGCUGUAAACGUUGGGCACUAGGUGUGGGGCCUUUUCCACGGGUUCUGCGCCGUAGCUAACGCUUUAAGUGCCCCGCCUGGGGAGUACGGCCGCAAGGUUAAAACUCAAAGGAAUUGACGGGGGCCCGCACAAGCGGCGGAGCAUGCGGAUUAAUUCGAUGCAACGCGAAGAACCUUACCAAGGCUUGACAUACACUGCGAUGUGCCAGAGAUGGUGCAGCCUUCGGGGUGGUGUACAGGUGGUGCAUGGUUGUCGUCAGCUCGUGUCGUGAGAUGUUGGGUUAAGUCCCGCAACGAGCGCAACCCUUGUCCUGUGUUGCCAGCAUGUUGUGGUGGGGACUCACGGGAGACUGCCGGGGUUAACUCGGAGGAAGGUGGGGAUGACGUCAAAUCAUCAUGCCCCUUAUGUCUUGGGCUUCACGCAUGCUACAAUGGCCGGUACAGAGG
RNAcentral lists this ribosomal RNA (1189 nucleotides) under Trueperella pyogenes. Its description in RNAcentral is "bacterial SSU rRNA". It matches the Rfam family "Bacterial small subunit ribosomal RNA", at positions 50 to 1245 of the family's 1533-position model. The record is from RNAcentral. Lineage: Bacteria; Bacillati; Actinomycetota; Actinomycetes; Actinomycetales; Actinomycetaceae.